AGGAUGAACGCUAGCGGCAGGCUAACACAUGCAAGUCGAGGGGCAGCGCGAGUAGCAAUACUUGGCGGCGACCGGCGCAAGGGUGCGUAACGCGUGAGCAACAUGCCCGUAUCAGGGGGAUAAUCCAGGGAAACUUGGUCUAAUACCCCAUAGUAAUUUUGUAAGGCAUCUUAUAAGAUUUAAAGCUUUGGUGGAUACGGAUUGGCUCGCGUGACAUUAGCUGGAUGGUAAGGUAACGGCUUACCAUGGCUAUGAUGUCUAGGGGUUCUGAGAGGAAGGUCCCCCACACUGGAACUGAGACACGGUCCAGACUCCUACGGGAGGCAGCAGUGAGGAAUAUUGGACAAUGGGUGGAAAUCUGAUCCAGCCAUGCCGCGUGAAGGGAAAAGAAGGUCCUAUGGAUUGUAAACUUCUUUUGUAUGGGAGCAAUAAGGCCUACGAGUAGGUUGAUGAGAGUACCAUACGAAUAAGCACCGGCUAACUCCGUGCCAGCAGCAGC
Molecule: ribosomal RNA, 499 nt
Filed under: uncultured bacterium
Lineage: Bacteria
Description: bacterial SSU rRNA
Rfam family: Bacterial small subunit ribosomal RNA
Source: RNAcentral